CCUACGGGAGGCAGCAGUGGGGGAUAUUGCACAAUGGGGGGAACCCUGAUGCAGCGACGCCGCGUGAGUGAAGAAGUAAUUCGUUAUGUAAAGCUCUAUCAGCAGGGAAGAAAAUGACGGUACCUGAGUCAGAAGCCCCGGCUAACUACGUGCCAGCAGCCGCGGUAAUACGUAGGGGGCAAGCGUUAUCCGGAUUUACUGGGUGUAAAGGGAGCGUAGACGGCAGUGCAAGUCUGGAGUGAAAGGCGGGGGCUCAACCCCCGGACUGCUCUGGAAACUGUACGGCUGGAGUGCAGGAGAGGUAAGUGGAAUUCCUAGUGUAGCGGUGAAAUGCGUAGAUAUUAGGAGGAACACCAGUGGCGAAGGCGGCUUACUGGACUGUAACUGACGUUGAGGCUCGAAAGCGUGGGGAGCAAACAGGAUUAGAUACCCUAGUAGUC
RNAcentral lists this ribosomal RNA (440 nucleotides) under uncultured bacterium. RNAcentral describes it as "partial 16S ribosomal RNA". It matches the Rfam family "Bacterial small subunit ribosomal RNA", at positions 338 to 795 of the family's 1533-position model. The record is from RNAcentral.